This 74-nucleotide transfer RNA is filed under the name Candidatus Magasanikbacteria bacterium CG10_big_fil_rev_8_21_14_0_10_40_10. RNAcentral describes it as "tRNA-Ala". It matches the Rfam family "tRNA". From Rfam's summary of the family: Transfer RNA (tRNA) molecules are approximately 80 nucleotides in length. Their secondary structure includes four short double-helical elements and three loops (D, anti-codon, and T loops). Further hydrogen bonds mediate the characteristic L-shaped molecular structure. tRNAs have two regions of fundamental functional importance: the anti-codon, which is responsible for specific mRNA codon recognition, and the 3' end, to which the tRNAs corresponding amino acid is attached (by aminoacyl-tRNA synthetases). tRNAs cope with the degeneracy of the genetic code in two manners: having more than one tRNA (with a specific anti-codon) for a particular amino acid; and 'wobble' base-pairing, i.e. permitting non-standard base-pairing at the 3rd anti-codon position. Lineage: Bacteria; Candidatus Magasanikiibacteriota. The record is from RNAcentral.
GGGCCCAUAGCUCAGCUGGCUAGAGCACCUGCUUUGCAAGCAGGGGGUCAAGGGUUCGAAUCCCUUUGGGUCCA